ACAAACUUGGUCAUUUAGAGGAAGUAAAAGUCGUAACAAGGUUUCCGUAGGUGAACCUGCGGAAGGAUCAUUACCGUAAUGAUGGGAGGGUGUGCUGGCGAGAGUAUACAUAUGCUCUCAACGGUGCACCCUCUCUCUAUCAUCACACAAAACCCCUUCUCUGUGUGUGAGUGUGUGUGACCACGUGUCACACCGACACACAAACUUCAAGUACACAACGCGCGUGUUUUUUUGUGACGCGUCGUGUCGCCUCUGUGCGACACACACACACGGGUACACAAAAACACACACACAUAUAUACCAACAAAAAACACAAAACAAUACUGACCCACCGUUGGUCUGAGAACGUGCAAACAUGCCGCGAGGUGUGCUUUGUGCAAAAACAAAACUAACAUAUAUUACAACUUUUAACAACGGAUAUCUUGGCUCGCGCAUCGAUGAAGAACGCAGC
Molecule: unclassified non-coding RNA, 451 nt
Filed under: uncultured fungus
Lineage: Eukaryota; Fungi
Description: partial contains small subunit ribosomal RNA, internal transcribed spacer 1, and 5.8S ribosomal RNA
Rfam family: Eukaryotic small subunit ribosomal RNA (bases 1-73)
Source: RNAcentral